RNAcentral lists this long non-coding RNA (504 nucleotides) under Mytilus galloprovincialis (Mediterranean mussel). Lineage: Eukaryota; Metazoa; Mollusca; Bivalvia; Mytilida; Mytilidae. The record is from RNAcentral.
ACAUUAUUGCUGUUAACAGUUUAUCUCUAUCUAUAAUAAUAUUCAAGAUAAUAACCAAAAACAGCAAAAUUUCCUUAAAAUUAUCAAUUCAGGGGCAGCAACCCAACAACGGGUUGUUCGAUUCAUCUGAAAAUUUCAGGGCAGAUAGAUCUUGACCUGAUGAACAAUUUUACCCCAUGUCAGAUUUGCUCUAAAUGCUUUGGUUUUUGAGUUAUAAGCCAAAAACUGCAUUUUACCCCUAUGUUCUAUUUUUAGCCAUGGCAGCCAUCUUGGUUGGUUGGCCGGGUCACGCCACACAUUUUUUAAACUAGAUACCCCAAUGAUGAUUGUGGCCAAGUUUGGAUUAAUUUGUCCCAGUAGUUUCAGAGGAGAACAUUUUUGUAAAAGAUUACUAAGAUUUACGAAAAAUGGUUAAAAAUGGACUAAAAAGGGCAAUAACUCCUAAAGGGGUCAACUGACCAUUUCGGUCACGUUGACUUAUUUGUAAAUCUUACUUUGCUGAAC